GACGAACGCUGGCGGCGUGCCUAAUACAUGCAAGUAGAACGCUGAAGGAGGAGCUUGCUCUUCUGGAUGAGUUGCGAACGGGUGAGUAACGCGUAGGUAACCUGCCUGGUAGCGGGGGAUAACUAUUGGAAACGAUAGCUAAUACCGCAUAAGAGUAGAUGUUGCAUGACAUUUACUUAAAAGGUGCAAUUGCAUCACUACCAGAUGGACCUGCGUUGUAUUAGCUAGUUGGUGGGGUAACGGCUUACCAAGGCGACGAUACAUAGCCGACCUGAGAGGGUGAUCGGCCACACUGGAACUGAGACACGGCCCAGACUCCUACGGGGGCAGCAGUAGGGAAUCUUCGGCAAUGGACGGAAGUCUGACCGAGCAACGCCGCGUGAGUGAAGAAGGUUUUCGGAUCGUAAAGCUCUGUUGUAAGAGAAGAACGAGUGUGAGAGUGGAAAGUUCACACUGUGACGGUAGCUUACCAGAAAGGGACGGCUAACUACGUG
RNAcentral lists this ribosomal RNA (494 nucleotides) under uncultured bacterium. RNAcentral's name for it is "partial 16S ribosomal RNA". It matches the Rfam family "Bacterial small subunit ribosomal RNA", at positions 28 to 507 of the family's 1533-position model. The record is from RNAcentral.